UGAUGACCGUUCCUCUUGCUGUCAGAAGUCUUAGACAGUGAGAUUUUGUGUCAUCAAAGAUUAAAGGUGGCCUUUCUUCACUCACUGUGUCUUUGGAUGGGUAUGGCUGUCCGUUGGCACUGUUGAACUUUGCGGGGUCACACAUUC
Molecule: small nucleolar RNA, 147 nt
Filed under: Pogona vitticeps (central bearded dragon)
Lineage: Eukaryota; Metazoa; Chordata; Lepidosauria; Squamata; Agamidae
Description: Small nucleolar RNA SNORA79 (ENSPVIG00000000845.1)
Rfam family: Small nucleolar RNA SNORA79
About the family: ACA65 (SNORA79) is a member of the H/ACA class of snoRNAs that guide the sites of modification of uridines to pseudouridines. This snoRNA was identified by computational screening and its expression in mouse experimentally verified by Northern blot and primer extension analysis.
Source: RNAcentral